CCUACGGGAGGCAGCAGUGGGGAAUAUUGCGCAAUGGGCGAAAGCCUGAUGCAGCGACGCCGCGUGAGGGAUGACGGCCUUCGGGUUGUAAACCUCUUUCAGCAGGGAAGAAGCGAAAGUGACGGUACCUGCAGAAGAAGCGCCGGCUAACUACGUGCCAGCAGCCGCGGUAAUACGUAGGGCGCAAGCGUUGUCCGGAAUUAUUGGGCGUAAAGAGCUCGUAGGCGGCUUGUCACGUCGGGUGUGAAAGCCCGGGGCUUAACCCCGGGUCUGCAUUCGAUACGGGCUAGCUAGAGUGUGGUAGGGGAGAUCGGAAUUCCUGGUGUAGCGGUGAAAUGCGCAGAUAUCAGGAGGAACACCGGUGGCGAAGGCGGAUCUCUGGGCCAUUACUGACGCUGAGGAGCGAAAGCGUGGGGAGCGAACAGGAUUAGAUACCCUGUAGUCCACGCCGUAAACGGUGGGAACUAGGUGUUGGCGACAUUCCACGUCGUCGGUGCCGCAGCUACGCAUAGUUCCCGCCUGGGAGUCGGCCGCAGGCAAACUCAAAGGAAUUGACGGCGUUGAGAGUUGCGAGCGACGACGAGGGAGAGG
RNAcentral lists this ribosomal RNA (591 nucleotides) under uncultured bacterium. RNAcentral's name for it is "bacterial SSU rRNA". It matches the Rfam family "Bacterial small subunit ribosomal RNA", at positions 338 to 950 of the family's 1533-position model. The record is from RNAcentral.